Molecule: long non-coding RNA, 558 nt
Filed under: Pectinophora gossypiella (pink bollworm)
Lineage: Eukaryota; Metazoa; Arthropoda; Insecta; Lepidoptera; Gelechiidae
Description: uncharacterized LOC126374904
Source: RNAcentral
AAAAUCAAAUGUUCAAUAUCACCAACAGUAUUUUCACAGGCGGUGCACUUGUUAUCCAGUAUUAUACCCAAUCUAUAUAAAUGUGCAGGAGUGGUGUGGUGGCCAAAACGAAGCCGGUUCAUGGUCGUAAUAAAAUCUCGGCUAGCAACCUUCAAAUUGUUAUACCACGGUUGAGUUGGUAAAACUUCUUCGCUUCUAAAACUGCAUAUGCCUCUGCAGUAAAAAUACUGGCAUUGGUGCUAAGAGCAAAACUUUGACAAAAAUUUAUUUGAGGAUCAUAUACCGCACUACGGACAUGGGCCUGACCUUUGCUGCCAUCGGAAAAUUUGAGACAUGCUUGGUGAUUUACGACAGAGAAGGUCACUUCCAGUUAUUGAGGGUGCAAUUUGCUGACAUGGAUGAGAUCUGACACAAGCGAGACAAAGCUGUCUGCACAACUUCUUCCUCGCCUGAAGCCAUAUUGAAUAUUUGGUAUAAUACCCUUGGACUCAACAUACCAAUCAAGACGGAUUUUAAUCAUAUUCUCGAAAAUUUUUCCUAAACAAGAUGAUAACGAAA